This 433-nucleotide ribosomal RNA is filed under the name uncultured bacterium. Its description in RNAcentral is "partial 16S ribosomal RNA". It matches the Rfam family "Bacterial small subunit ribosomal RNA", at positions 29 to 507 of the family's 1533-position model. The record is from RNAcentral.
AACGAACGCUGGCGGCAUGCCUAACACAUGCAAGUCGAACGAGACCUUCGGGUCUAUUGGCGCACGGGUGCGUAACGCGUGGGAACCUGCCCUUAGGUUCGGAAUAACUCCCCGAAAGGGGUGCUAAUACCGGAUAAUGUCUUCGGACCAAAGACUUAUCGCCUUUGGAUGGGCCCUCGUUGGAUUAGCUAGUUGGUAGGGUAAAAGCCUACCAAGGCGACGAUCCAUAGCUGGUCUGAGAGGAUGAUCAGCCACACUGGGACUGAGACACGGCCCAGACUCCUCCGGGAGGCAGCAGUGGGGAAUAUUGGACAACGGGCGAAAGGCUGAUCCAGCAAUGCCGCGUGAGUGAUGAAGGCCUUAGGGUUGUAAAGCUCUUUUAACCGGGAUGAUAAUGACAGUACCGGGAGAAUAAGCUCCGGCUAACUACGUG